RNAcentral lists this ribosomal RNA (427 nucleotides) under uncultured Acidobacteriota bacterium. RNAcentral describes it as "bacterial SSU rRNA". It matches the Rfam family "Bacterial small subunit ribosomal RNA", at positions 958 to 1385 of the family's 1533-position model. Lineage: Bacteria; Pseudomonadati; Acidobacteriota. The record is from RNAcentral.
AACGCGAAGAACCUUACCUGGGCUCGAAAUGCUCGUGACCAUCUUGAGAAAUCUAGACUUCCCGCAAGGGACACGAGUAUAGGUGCUGCAUGGCUGUCGUCAGCUCGUGCCGUGAGGUGUUGGGUUAAGUCCCGCAACGAGCGCAACCCUUACACUUAGUUGCUACCCGCAAGGGAGAACUCUAGGUGGACUGCUCCGGAUAACGGAGAGGAAGGUGGGGAUGACGUCAAGUCAGCACGGCCUUUAUGUCCAGGGCUACACACGUGUUACAAUGCGCGGCACAAACUGUUGCAAACCCGCGAGGGGGAGCUAAUCGGAAAAAACCGCGCUCAGUUCGGAUUGCAGUCUGCAACUCGACUGCAUGAAGCUGGAAUCGCUAGUAAUGGCGCAUCAGAUCGGCGCCGUGAAUACGUUCCCGGGCCUUGUA